GUAACCAACUCACAUCGAUUUUCAAAAAAUAAACGUAUCACCCAACGGCGCUCUUAGUUAGCUAUAUAACCAACACUUUUCUAAACUGGGUAACGACAGCUAGCUAGCUACACCGUUGGCUACUAAGCAUAUCCCACGUAGUUAGCUACAAGCACUCCGCCAUUACACAUUAACUAGCUAGCUUUGUGCUGCUCAGUCACUGUUGGGCAAGUCUGUGGUCAAAUGCAACGUUCUUUCAACUCACCCGCCGUUUUGCGUUCCACCAAAUGACAUCAAUCUUCUAUUUGGUUGAAUUUCUCUUUGCGUAAAAACACUAACGUUUUAUACAGACUCCGCCAGACUUACAAUGUAGCUUGUCCAGACAGUGGAGUACUGCAAGAGCUUUCACUCUAUGCGAUAUCGUUCCCACUUCCUGUUUUUUGGGGGAAAGGACCGGUGCUGUGUUGAAUUUUGCUUCCCUCACACAGAUUAUUUUCUUCAAUCAUGUGCGACGCUAGGGGACGCAGUGAGCAGGCCGCGUCUCACCGGAUGAUGCAGUCCUGUGGCUGCCUGCUAUCAUCGUUUUCCUGCCACCCCAGGAGAGUGUUGCGGAUAUGAACCAGAUGAAUGUCUGUUCAGGUUUCCCAAAUGAAACCCCACAGCACACAGCUUGGUCUACGUGAAAAUGUAGGACCAGACAUCUUACAAGCAGGAUGCUGAGGUGUUGAUGCCAGAGCCAGUGUUGAGUACACUGGUGGUCUAUCCAUCAUCAGGCUACUGCAUGUGUUCACAGAGGUUCUACUGAUGCCCACUCUGACCGUGGAGCCUUCAGGACGACAAACAGCUCCACUGGCCACCCCACCACAGCUGUUAUUGUUUUGUUGCUGAGCUGAGGAGCGUCGCGCAGCAUGGUUAAAAAAAGAUCUGUACAUAUUAGUGCUCUUCUAUCAGGGAGGGAGUGUUUGUUGCUGGGCUGAGAAGCAUCGUGCAGCAUGGUUAAAAAAAGAUCUGUACAUAUUAGUGCUCUUCUAUCAGGGAGGGAGUGUUUGUUUGCGCUAACUUCUUCUGUCAUUGUAAUAUCGAAGGACAAGUGGCUAAAAAUGUUUGUCAAAGCAAUGUAUUCCUCUGUCUCUCCCUCUUUCCAUGUCUCUGCCCAUAAACAGUCCUCCCUUGUCAAGUUGGGUAUCAAAGCUCCUCUGACCUAUUGACACUUAGCUCAUCUGAGCCCCAUUCCCGAACUUACAAUUCAAAAUAAACUCAGCAAAAAAUAAAUGUCCUCUCACUGUCAACUGUGUUUAUUUUCAGCAAACUUAACAUGUGUACAUAGUUAUAUGAACAUAACAAGAUUCAACAACUGAGACAUACACUGAACAAGUUCCA
Oncorhynchus tshawytscha (Chinook salmon) is the source of this 1359-nucleotide long non-coding RNA. The record is from Ensembl. Lineage: Eukaryota; Metazoa; Chordata; Actinopteri; Salmoniformes; Salmonidae.